AUGGAUCCAGAGGGAAACCAACCAGAGAAAGGGGUCCUUAGAGCAUUGUUUCCAGUAUUUUGGACAUGCAUUCACAAUAAGAAAGGUGGGAGCUUGACACCUGCAUAAAACCUAAGAAUUUGGCCUAUGGGUACUGCCAUGACUAAUGAAGCAACUCCUGAUUCCACAAGAUACCCAAUUAGGAAAAAAAGUCUCAGCAGGCCAGGAAAAACAGUUAGAGGAGAGGGCAAAUGAUCUUUAAGAGCAGUUAGCAGUAUAGGAGAGAGUAGAGGGAUAGAAGAGGAAGUCAUUCCUAAGAUUAAGUCAAUCCACUUCCCUUACCAUGCAUUUUGGCAAGCACUGUCAGAAGCCAUGGAAAGAGGAUAAACCAUGAAAAAUGCUCGACUCCAUAAUACUAAGAAAAAGCAUGGA
Neofelis nebulosa (Clouded leopard) is the source of this 411-nucleotide long non-coding RNA. RefSeq lists it as uncharacterized. Lineage: Eukaryota; Metazoa; Chordata; Mammalia; Carnivora; Felidae. The transcript is spliced from 4 exons. The record is from RefSeq and is a predicted model, not a curated record.